This 115-nucleotide ribosomal RNA is filed under the name Cohaesibacter gelatinilyticus. Lineage: Bacteria; Pseudomonadati; Pseudomonadota; Alphaproteobacteria; Hyphomicrobiales; Cohaesibacteraceae. The record is from RNAcentral.
CCUGGUGGUUAUUGCGAGGAGACCAAACCCGAUCCCAUCCCGAACUCGGCCGUUAAGCUCCUCAGCGCCGAUGGUACUCCGUCUUAAGGCGUGGGAGAGUAGGUCACUGCCAGGC